This 534-nucleotide long non-coding RNA is filed under the name Populus trichocarpa (black cottonwood). RNAcentral's name for it is "long non-coding RNA (PTRI_LNC002385)". Lineage: Eukaryota; Viridiplantae; Streptophyta; Magnoliopsida; Malpighiales; Salicaceae. The record is from RNAcentral.
AGGCUAACAGCACUUCAUGAAUGCUUGUGCGGUCAGAAAAAUAGUGGAGAUAUAAUCUUUGCCAGGCAAAUCAUCACUCUUCUCCAUGAGAAUGCAAGUCCUUGAAUAAGUGAACCAAAGAUGGGUUCCUUAUUGAAGUCCAGAAAUUCCGCUACAAUCACAAAGUUCAAUUAAAUGCUACGUUGAAGUCCAAAAUCAUGCUGAUCGCUUUAUUAUGAUCUUUAUAUCACAUCUCAGGAAUGGCAUUUCGGUCCAUGGUUCCACAAAAUCUACCAUGCAAGGUAAAUUAAUCGCUUUAUUAUGAUCUUUAUCCUGUAAACCCACAAUUUUUACUUUACAUGAUGAAAAAAGAAAGGAUAAAUCCAGAAACAUGUUGAGCUUGCAGGAUCCUGGAGACAAUAAUACUCAAUCACUACCAAUAAAGCUGCAACUUAAUCAAACAAACUAUUUAGUACACGCUUGACAACAAUUUCUUGGCCCUCCGAAAGUGCAGCAUGUUUCCUUGGCAAAUUCCAAUUUUAAAUGCUAUCGGUG